GACGAACGCUGGCGGCGUGCUUAACACAUGCAAGUCGAACGGAAAGGCCCUGCUUUUGUGGGGUGCUCGAGUGGCGAACGGGUGAGUAACACGUGAGUAACCUGCCCUUUACUUUGGGAUAACUUCAGGAAACUGGGGCUAAUACUGGAUAGUAGCUCCUGCUGCAUGGUGGGGGUUGGAAAGUUUCGGCGGUUGGGGAUGGACUCGCGGCUUAUCAGCUUGUUGGUGGGGUAGUGGCUUACCAAGGCUUUGACGGGUAGCCGGCCUGAGAGGGUGACCGGCCACAUGGGGACUGAGAUACGGACCAGACUCCAACGGGAGGCAGCAGUGGGGAAUAUUGCACAAUGGGCGGAAGCCUGAGGCAGCAACGCCGCGUGCGGGAUGACGGCCUUCGGGUUGUAAACCGCUUUCGCCUGUGACGAAGCGUGAGUGACGGUAAUGGGUAAAGAAGCACCGGCUAACUACGUG
Molecule: ribosomal RNA, 468 nt
Filed under: uncultured bacterium
Lineage: Bacteria
Description: partial 16S ribosomal RNA
Rfam family: Bacterial small subunit ribosomal RNA
Source: RNAcentral